RNAcentral lists this ribosomal RNA (200 nucleotides) under uncultured Sporosarcina sp. RNAcentral describes it as "partial 16S ribosomal RNA". It matches the Rfam family "Bacterial small subunit ribosomal RNA", at positions 519 to 718 of the family's 1533-position model. The record is from RNAcentral. Lineage: Bacteria; Bacillati; Bacillota; Bacilli; Caryophanales; Caryophanaceae.
AAUUGCUCACGAAUGGCAAGCGUUGUCCGGAAUUAUUGGGCGUAAAGCGCGCGCAGGCGGUUCUUUAAGUCUGAUGUGAAAGCCCACGGCUCAACCGUGGAGGGUCAUUGGAAACUGGAGAACUUGAGUACAGAAGAGGAAAGCGGAAUUCCACGUGUAGCGGUGAAAUGCGUAGAGAUGUGGAGGAACACCAGUGGCGA